RNAcentral lists this long non-coding RNA (288 nucleotides) under Lathyrus oleraceus (garden pea). RNAcentral describes it as "Pisum sativum (pea) long non-coding RNA (PSAT_LNC008165)". Lineage: Eukaryota; Viridiplantae; Streptophyta; Magnoliopsida; Fabales; Fabaceae. The record is from RNAcentral.
AUCUCUUCUUUUCGAUCGAAUUCAGCAUCAGCCAACUUGGGACCUUGAGGGUGCUAUCUUUCUUUUGUUUUUGUUUUGUUGUUUUUUUUUCUUUCUGUUGAUUUCUUUUGAUUUCUUUUGAUUUUGCACCCUCCUCUUUCUUUUUUCUUUUUUUUUCUUCUUCUCUUUUUUUUUUGAUAAUGCCCCAGUUGGCUGUUCUGCUGAUUCUCGAGAUGCAGCUGAGUGAUCUUCUUUUCUUGCUCAAGAAGUCGGGAAAUCUCGUCAGGAAUCCCUUCAACAUCAUCUUCG